AUCAAGACAUUUCACUGCCAACAUAGACAGCAUUGAAUUAAUCACCAUAAAAAAAAGAGCUACCGGUAUAAGAAGGUGAGGGAAGUCGAGGAAACAGACAGACAAUGGUCAGCUCCAUUUGCAAUGAUCAUAUUAGACAUGACUGCCAAUUACAUCGUGAAUGAUGUCGAUCUCCCUGCCAUAAGCAGCAAAAGAUGAUUGUGAGUUGCCACUCCAAAACCAGAAGGCGUUAGAUGGUCGAGACGUGAGCAUGAAAGGUAAGUUACCUCAAAGCUCAUUGACGUCUUCUUCUUCUUCUUCUUCUUCUUCUUCUUCUUCUUCUUCUUCUUCUUCUUCUUCAGCAGCAGCAACA
Molecule: long non-coding RNA, 352 nt
Filed under: Musa acuminata (dwarf banana)
Lineage: Eukaryota; Viridiplantae; Streptophyta; Magnoliopsida; Zingiberales; Musaceae
Description: long non-coding RNA (MACU_LNC009969)
Source: RNAcentral